AGGCAAUAACAGGUCUGUGAUGCCCUUAGUUAUCCUAGGUCGCACGCGCUCAUACAAUGUAGGCGCACAACGAGUUUCCUAGAGCCGAUAGAGAUUAGUCUCUUAGCCUGUGUUUGUGGGACCGAGGCAAUAUCAUUGCACACGAGUAGUUUCGAUCAUGUGUCGUUGCUUAUUUGUGAUGCUGGUGGUUUUGUCUCAGCUAAGAGACUCUGGGCAAUCUGAGAGAGCGCUACGUGACUGGGCUAGACUUUUGUAAUUGUUGGUCUUGAACGAGGAAUGCCUAGUAAUCGUAGGUCAUUAUCCUGCGAUGAUUAUGUCCCUGCCCUUUGUACACACCGCCCGUCGCUCCUGCCGUGGCUCGUGCCGGUGAAGAGGGGGAGGCAGCGUCAACGGAGUAACAUCUGAUUGUACGUGGAACCCCUCUGAACCUUCGCGAGUAGAGGAAGGAGAAGUCGUAACAAGGUUUUCGUAGGUGAACCUGCGAAAGGAUCAUUAU
Molecule: ribosomal RNA, 496 nt
Filed under: Caulerpa racemosa f. macrophysa
Lineage: Eukaryota; Viridiplantae; Chlorophyta; Ulvophyceae; Bryopsidales; Caulerpaceae
Description: bacterial SSU rRNA
Rfam family: Eukaryotic small subunit ribosomal RNA
Source: RNAcentral